UUCUGCUCUCUCACCACACAAUGAGAUAACUGAUCAGUAGCUUAGAGUUAGUUCAAGGAAACUGCCCUCAAACCGAACCGACCCGAACCGAUUCUCUAUUUCUAUCUCUCUCUUUCUCAAUUCUCAAACUCUAUCGUUUCGUUCUGAUUUCCGUUGCCGAAUUGGUUGCUGGAUCUUCAGGAAAAUGGGUACGCGUCUUCGUUCUUCGCACACUUGUUUUCGUUCUUAUUGUUAUUCUACACUUACUGCUGCUACUACUACUAGUAUUGCUAGUGCUAAAAAAAACCCGAAUCACAAUCAGAGUCAAAAUCAAUUCUUGAAACCUGUUAGAGAUCAGUGCAAAUCUAGAAGCUUUAGGAAUGUUGAUGAUGCCUUAGACCUGUUUGAUAAAAUGCUUCACACGCGCCCUUUGCCUUCCAUUGCCGAUUUUAAUCACGUUUUGGGUGGCAUUGCAAGAAUGAAGCAUUACCCAGUAGUCAUUUCUCUAAUUAAACGAAUCGAAUCAUUCGGAAUCUCUCCCGAUGUUUAUACUCUUAAUAUUUUGAUUAACUGCUUCUGUCAUUGGAACCGUCUAGGUUUUGGGUUUUCUGUCUUGGCUACAAUUUUGAAACUUGGUUAUCACCCAGACUCUGUUACUCUAAACACCCUUGUGAAGGGUCUCUGUCUUCAAGGUAACAUUGCUGGAGCUGUGAAGUUGGUAGAAGAUAUGGAGAAGAAAGGGUAUCAACCUGAUGCAUUUACUUGUGGAACGAUACUAAAUGCUCUGUGUAAGAUUGGUAAGGCUGAUAUGGCUCUUGGGUUGCUCAGGAAAUUGGAAGAAGGAGAUUUUGAGCUUAAUCUGGCAGCGUAUAACACAAUCAUUGACAGUUUGUGUAAGGAUAGGUUGGUAACUGAGGCCUUGAACUUUUUGACUGAAAUGAUGAGUGAAGGCAUUCAGCCAGACCUUUUCACUUACAAUUCCUUAAUUCAAGGCCUAUGCAAUUGCGGCAGGUGGAGAGAGGCUACUACUUUGUUGAACAAGAUGGCACAGAGGAAGAUCGUGCCAGGUGUGUGGACCUUCAACAUAUUGGUGGACGCAUUUUGCAAAGAGGGGAUGUUGAUAGAGGCAAAAAAAGUUUUUGAGAAGAUGAUUCAAAGAGGUAUUGAGCCUGACGUAGUCUCUUAUAGUUCUUUAAUUGAUGGAUACUGUUUGCAAAAUAAAUUGAAGGAUGCCAUCGAAGCAUUGAACAUGAUGGUUGAGAGGGGUUGUCCACCUAAUGUUGUUAGCUAUAGCACAUUGAUUAAUGGAUUUUGUAAAAAUAAAAGAAUUGAUGAGGCAAUGAAUCUCUUUAAUGAAAUGUCCAACAAGGGAGUAACUCCUAAUGUUGUGACUUACAACACUCUUAUAGGUGGGUUUUGUCGAGUGGAGAGACAUAAGGCUGCUCUAGAGCUAUUCCAUAAAAUGCAGGCUUGUGGCCAACUUCCAGAUCCCCAAACUUAUGCUGUCUUGUUGGACGGCCUGUGUAAGAAUGGACUAGUUGUUGAGGCAAUAAAAGUGUUUCUUGAUAUGGAAGACAAAACGUUGGGCAAUUAUAUUGUGACUUACAACAUUUUGAUUGAUGGUUUGUGUAAUGUUCAGAAUCUUAAAGUUGCAAGAGAACUCUUUUAUAGUCUACCUGCAAAAGGAUUGCAACCCAAUGUUCGAACUUACAACAUAAUGCUCAAAGGGCUUUGCAAAGAGGGACUGCUAGAAGAAGCAAGUGAGAUAUUUGAGAAAAUGGAUGGGAGCGGUUGUUCACCUGACGAUUGCACAUAUAACACAAUAAUCCAAGGGUUACUGCAACAUAAUGAGACAUCAAAGGCAGUUAAAUAUCUUGAAAUAAUGGUUGAUAAGGGUUUUUCAGCAAAUGCGACAGUUGCAAGCAAGUUUUUUGACUUGCUGUCAUCUAAUCAAGUAGAUAAGAACAUUCAAGAAUUUCUCCAGAAGCCUAAGUGAAGGUCUUUUAGUUUCUCAACAUCAAGGACAAGUUUCAUAUUUUAUCCAUCACAUGUCAAUCUUUAAAAGAUGUGUAUCAUUUCAGCUUGAGAUAAAAGAUGGGGUUCUCUUUCACCAAGCUUUUUAGCUGGCCUUUUGCCAAGGAGAUGCGUAUUCUAAUGGUGGGUCUUCAUGUAGUGGGCAAGACUACCAUUUUGUACAAGUUGAAAUUGGGAGAGAUUGGGACCACCCUUCCUACCAUUGCAGGUAAAUGAUCGGUCUCAUCAAGGUGAAUAUUUAA
This is an RNA transcript of Quercus lobata, 2255 nucleotides long. It is a transcript of the gene named shaggy-related protein kinase NtK-1-like, with no coding region annotated. The record is from RefSeq and is a predicted model, not a curated record. Lineage: Eukaryota; Viridiplantae; Streptophyta; Magnoliopsida; Fagales; Fagaceae. The transcript is spliced from 3 exons.